RNAcentral lists this ribosomal RNA (1520 nucleotides) under Klebsiella pneumoniae. RNAcentral's name for it is "bacterial SSU rRNA". It matches the Rfam family "Bacterial small subunit ribosomal RNA". Lineage: Bacteria; Pseudomonadati; Pseudomonadota; Gammaproteobacteria; Enterobacterales; Enterobacteriaceae. The record is from RNAcentral.
AGAGUUUGAUCAUGGCUCAGAUUGAACGCUGGCGGCAGGCCUAACACAUGCAAGUCGAGCGGUAGCACAGAGAGCUUGCUCUCGGGUGACGAGCGGCGGACGGGUGAGUAAUGUCUGGGAAACUGCCUGAUGGAGGGGGAUAACUACUGGAAACGGUAGCUAAUACCGCAUAAUGUCGCAAGACCAAAGUGGGGGACCUUCGGGCCUCAUGCCAUCAGAUGUGCCCAGAUGGGAUUAGCUAGUAGGUGGGGUAAUGGCUCACCUAGGCGACGAUCCCUAGCUGGUCUGAGAGGAUGACCAGCCACACUGGAACUGAGACACGGUCCAGACUCCUACGGGAGGCAGCAGUGGGGAAUAUUGCACAAUGGGCGCAAGCCUGAUGCAGCCAUGCCGCGUGUGUGAAGAAGGCCUUCGGGUUGUAAAGCACUUUCAGCGGGGAGGAAGGCGUUAAGGUUAAUAACCUUGGCGAUUGACGUUACCCGCAGAAGAAGCACCGGCUAACUCCGUGCCAGCAGCCGCGGUAAUACGGAGGGUGCAAGCGUUAAUCGGAAUUACUGGGCGUAAAGCGCACGCAGGCGGUCUGUCAAGUCGGAUGUGAAAUCCCCGGGCUCAACCUGGGAACUGCAUUCGAAACUGGCAGGCUAGAGUCUUGUAGAGGGGGGUAGAAUUCCAGGUGUAGCGGUGAAAUGCGUAGAGAUCUGGAGGAAUACCGGUGGCGAAGGCGGCCCCCUGGACAAAGACUGACGCUCAGGUGCGAAAGCGUGGGGAGCAAACAGGAUUAGAUACCCUGGUAGUCCACGCCGUAAACGAUGUCGAUUUGGAGGUUGUGCCCUUGAGGCGUGGCUUCCGGAGCUAACGCGUUAAAUCGACCGCCUGGGGAGUACGGCCGCAAGGUUAAAACUCAAAUGAAUUGACGGGGGCCCGCACAAGCGGUGGAGCAUGUGGUUUAAUUCGAUGCAACGCGAAGAACCUUACCUGGUCUUGACAUCCACAGAACUUUCCAGAGAUGGAUUGGUGCCUUCGGGAACUGUGAGACAGGUGCUGCAUGGCUGUCGUCAGCUCGUGUUGUGAAAUGUUGGGUUAAGUCCCGCAACGAGCGCAACCCUUAUCCUUUGUUGCCAGCGGUCCGGCCGGGAACUCAAAGGAGACUGCCAGUGAUAAACUGGAGGAAGGUGGGGAUGACGUCAAGUCAUCAUGGCCCUUACGACCAGGGCUACACACGUGCUACAAUGGCAUAUACAAAGAGAAGCGACCUCGCGAGAGCAAGCGGACCUCAUAAAGUAUGUCGUAGUCCGGAUUGGAGUCUGCAACUCGACUCCAUGAAGUCGGAAUCGCUAGUAAUCGUAGAUCAGAAUGCUACGGUGAAUACGUUCCCGGGCCUUGUACACACCGCCCGUCACACCAUGGGAGUGGGUUGCAAAAGAAGUAGGUAGCUUAACCUUCGGGAGGGCGCUUACCACUUUGUGAUUCAUGACUGGGGUGAAGUCGUAACAAGGUAACCGUAGGGGAACCUGCGGUUG